UAUUAAAUAUUUUAUCUAUUUGUACUAUUAAAAACUAACGUAUCUAACAGUAUAAUAAGAGUGACACGUGACAUGCUAUGUACACCACAUGUUGAUGGAUAAAAUUAAAUUUUAAUAGUAGAAAUAAAUGAAAUUUUUAAUA
Molecule: non-coding RNA, 142 nt
Organism: Gossypium raimondii (Peruvian cotton)
Lineage: Eukaryota; Viridiplantae; Streptophyta; Magnoliopsida; Malvales; Malvaceae
Source: Rfam